Molecule: ribosomal RNA, 392 nt
Filed under: uncultured bacterium
Lineage: Bacteria
Description: partial 16S ribosomal RNA
Rfam family: Bacterial small subunit ribosomal RNA
Source: RNAcentral
AUACGGAGGAUCCGAGCGUUAUCCGGAUUUAUUGGGUUUAAAGGGUGCGCAGGCGGCCAUUUAAGUCAGCGGUUAAAUCGUGGGGCUCAACCCCAUUCUGCCGUUGAUACUGGGUGGCUUGAUUGCGGUCGAGGUUGGCGGAAUUCGUUGUGUAGCGGUGAAAUGCAUAGAUAUGACGAAGAACACCGAUUGCGUAGGCAGCUGACCAGACCGCAAAUGACGCUCAUGCACGAAAGUGCGGGGAUCGAACAGGAUUAGAUACCCUGGUAGUCCGCACAGUAAACGAUGAAUACUUGUUUUCGGCGAUAUAAUGUCGGAGGCAAAGCGAAAGCGAUAAGUAUUCCACCUGGGGAGUACGCCAGCAACGGUGAAACUCAAAUGAAUUGACGGGG